Molecule: long non-coding RNA, 254 nt
Filed under: Gossypium barbadense (sea-island cotton)
Lineage: Eukaryota; Viridiplantae; Streptophyta; Magnoliopsida; Malvales; Malvaceae
Description: long non-coding RNA (GBAR_LNC023377)
Source: RNAcentral
AAGCUCCGAAUUAUAUAUAUGGAAUUUAUAUUGUCUUUAUCACAACUAUUCCUAGUACGUACAAGUGAUAUUCUUCUUUUGGAUUUUCUCUGGGAUAUUCUUUUGGAUUUUCUCUAGGAUAUCAUCGAUCUCUUUAUCAUUCAAUGUGGUUUUUCUUCUCGGAAAUUUAGUAUAGCUUCACAUCUUAGAUUCUAUUAUCUCGGUUUUCUUAUUAUUCUUAUGGUCUAAUCUUAUUUAUUAACCAUGGUUCAUCC